GACGAACGCUGGCGGCGUGCUUAACACAUGCAAGUCGAACGGAAAGGCCCUGCUUUUGUGGGGUGCUCGAGUGGCGAACGGGUGAGUAACACGUGAGUAACCUGCCCUUGACUUUGGGAUAACUUCAGGAAACUGGGGCUAAUACCGGAUAGGAGCUCCUGCUGCAUGGUGGGGGUUGGAAAGUUUCGGCGGUUGGGGAUGGACUCGCGGCUUAUCAGCUUGUUGGUGGGGUAGUGGCUUACCAAGGCAUUGACGGGUAGCCGGCCUGAGAGGGUGACCGGCCACAGUGGGACUGGGGUGCGGCCCAGACUCCUACGGGAGGCAGCAGUGGGGAAUAUUGCACAAUGGGCGGAAGCCGGAUGCAGCAACUCCGCGUGCGGGAUGACGGCCUUCGGGUUGUAAACGGCUUUCGCCUGUGACGAGGCGUGAGUGACGGUAAUGGGUAAAGAAGCACCGGCUAACUACGU
RNAcentral lists this ribosomal RNA (467 nucleotides) under uncultured bacterium. RNAcentral's name for it is "partial 16S ribosomal RNA". It matches the Rfam family "Bacterial small subunit ribosomal RNA", at positions 28 to 506 of the family's 1533-position model. The record is from RNAcentral.